Molecule: ribosomal RNA, 586 nt
Filed under: uncultured bacterium
Lineage: Bacteria
Description: bacterial SSU rRNA
Rfam family: Bacterial small subunit ribosomal RNA
Source: RNAcentral
CCUACGGGAGGCAGCAGUGGGGAAUUUUGGACAAUGGGCGCAAGCCUGAUCCAGCAAUGCCGCGUGAGUGAAGAAGGCCUUCGGGUUGUAAAGCUCUUUUGUCAGGGAAGAAACGGUGGGAGCUAAUAUCUCUUGCUAAUGACGGUACCUGAAGAAUAAGCACCGGCUAACUACGUGCCAGCAGCCGCGGUAAUACGUAGGGUGCAAGCGUUAAUCGGAAUUACUGGGCGUAAAGCGUGCGCAGGCGGUUUUGUAAGUUUGUCGUGAAAUCCCCGGGCUCAACCUGGGAAUGGCGAUGAAGACUGCAAGGCUAGAAUCUGGCAGAGGGGGGUAGAAUUCCACGUGUAGCAGUGAAAUGCGUAGAGAUGUGGAGGAACACCGAUGGCGAAGGCAGCCCCCUGGGUCAAGAUUGACGCUCAUGCACGAAAGCGUGGGGAGCAAACAGGAUUAGAUACCCUGGUAGUCCACGCCCUAAACGAUGUCUACUAGUUGUCGGGUUUUAAUUAACUUGGUAACGCAGCUAACGCGUGAAGUAGACCGCCUGGGGAGUACGGUCGCAAGAUUAAAACUCAAAUGAAAUUGACGG